This 490-nucleotide ribosomal RNA is filed under the name uncultured bacterium. RNAcentral describes it as "partial 16S ribosomal RNA". It matches the Rfam family "Bacterial small subunit ribosomal RNA", at positions 28 to 507 of the family's 1533-position model. The record is from RNAcentral.
GAUGAACGCUAGCGAUAGGCUUAACACAUGCAAGUCGAGGGGCGGCAUGGUCUUAGCUUGCUAAGACUGAUGGCGACCGGCGCACGGGUGCGUAACGCGUAUGCAACUUGCCUCACAGAGGGGGAUAACCCGUCGAAAGACGGACUAAUACCGCGUACACUUGGGAUAGGGCAUCCUGACCCAAGGAAAUGAAAUUCGCUGUGAGAUAGGCAUGCGUCCCAUUAGCUAGUUGGUGAGGUAACGGCUCACCAAGGCGACGAUGGGUAGGGGAACUGAGAGGUUGAACCCCCACACUGGUACUGAGACACGGACCAGACUCCUACGGGAGGCAGCAGUGAGGAAUAUUGGUCAAUGGGCGAGAGCCUGAACCAGCCAAGUCGCGUGAAGGAUGACUGUCUUAUGGAUUGUAAACUUCUUUUAUACGGGAAUAACAAGAGUCACAUGUGGCUCCCUGCAUGUACCGUAUGAAUAAGCAUCGGCUAACUCCGUG